Long non-coding RNA from Hyalella azteca, 544 nucleotides. RefSeq lists it as uncharacterized. The transcript is spliced from 4 exons. NCBI's taxonomy places the organism in Eukaryota, Metazoa, Arthropoda, Malacostraca, Amphipoda, Hyalellidae. The record is from RefSeq and is a predicted model, not a curated record.
CGGGCGGUUAAGCACAGCAGAAUUGUAGCACCUACGGUAUCGGAGGAACUUCUGCGGGAAGUACUGGCCCCAGAGGCACAGGAGGCCGUCAUGGUCCAGGAGGUCCGGGAGGACCAGGCCACUGUGACGUCGUUACUCUGCUCCAUGACAGCGGGUACAACACCAAGGCUGAGACACUCCUCAAGUGUGUUGCUCAGGAGCAGAGUUUUCUUGAUGAUGCAUUAUAGCUUCCACAUCCAAGCUUGCAUCGACUCGCUGAUCGCCAGCGCUACCUACGCCGGCAGGCAGUGUAGUGCAGCGCGUCCUCGACAAUUGCCCCAUGGACUCUCUCAUCGCCUAUGAUGUGAAGAAAUACAGGCAUCUGCAGUGUGUGGUCAGCUACUGCGCUACUGGCGCCGCCCCAACCCAGUUAUUAUCGCAGGCUUCUUCAUCCCGCAUUUGGCGGUCACGCAGUAUUUGCACUCGGCUUCAUCAGCAGAAUUUAUGCUUCCAUUAUAAUAGUAUAAUAUAUUCGUUCAGCAUUUAUUUUCAAUAAAUAUAUACA